This 30-nucleotide non-coding RNA is filed under the name Mus musculus (house mouse). The record is from RNAcentral. Lineage: Eukaryota; Metazoa; Chordata; Mammalia; Rodentia; Muridae.
UCGAGUUCCAGGACAGCCAGGUUACAUAGU